UGGAAAAUUAAUAACUGUGACUAGCUGAGGAUUUUUAGAAAUUAUUUCAUUUAUUUAUUUAAUAAAAUUUAUACACUGCGUGUGUGUGUGUGUGUGUGUGUGUGUGUGUGUGUGUGUACACACACACACAUACCUCAAAGGAAAGGAGACUCCAU
Molecule: non-coding RNA, 155 nt
Organism: Podarcis lilfordi (Lilford's wall lizard)
Lineage: Eukaryota; Metazoa; Chordata; Lepidosauria; Squamata; Lacertidae
Source: the annotation of a GenBank genome assembly